RNAcentral lists this unclassified non-coding RNA (333 nucleotides) under Hevea brasiliensis (rubber tree). Lineage: Eukaryota; Viridiplantae; Streptophyta; Magnoliopsida; Malpighiales; Euphorbiaceae. The record is from RNAcentral.
CAUACAGUACCUGAACUCCUUGUAACGUUCAAAAGAAUCCAGAGCCCAACCCUUAUUCCUAUCAGCUGCCAUAACAGAAAAUGAAACCAAACAAGACAAAAACCCAAAAAUCCUAAAACCUAAACCCGCUUUCUUUACCAUUGCAUCCCUCCUCACUUUUCUUAAAAUCGACAACUGUGGCUUUCCUCUCUGCCGACGGUUGCCGCUGUCUUCACCUUCCUUAAUACUAGCUGUACCAUCUCCGACAAACAGAUCCGCUUUCACCAAAGCCAGUGGCUCCUCCUUGAUAAACUUCUUCACCACCGCUUCCGGUAUUGGAGGUUUUUCCGGCGG